CACGAUUCGAAAAGCGUUAAGAUUUUCGUUUAGGGGUGUGCAAGCUUACCUUUCAUUCGAAUACGGAAUUGUAUAGAUAACGGCCUUUAACGUAGACGAGUCGACCCCCCAGGCAAAUCAAUGACUCGGGUAUGUGAGAUGUCAAGUUUGAAGACAGAAGAAGCGCUUGAAUUGAUUCUUUGUCUAAAACAAGGCGAGUGGAACUUUCCAGUCACUGACUGCAUCUUUUAUAAAAGGAAAAAAGUAUGUAACGAGAUAUAAACUAUUUGGAGGAUGUUCUAUAACCGCGUGACCUUCACACAGGUAUGUUCGGAUGCCUGGAGGUGUUACAGUUUUAUUCUGUUAUAAGGCAAAGGUGAACGCUGUCUUAGUACGAACCUUGGAAAAAAACAAACAACAAUGCUUCUGCAGUAACGGAGUCGACUAGAUCAACAACACACGUUCCACUUCGUGUGACUGAUAAGUUUCGGUCCAUUGUGAAUCAGAAGAACUGUCAUGUUUUCUGAAAAUUCCAAGUCUGGUAACAGCUGCAAAAUGACAAAAAAAAAAAAAA
This is a long non-coding RNA of Centruroides sculpturatus (bark scorpion), 553 nucleotides long. RefSeq lists it as uncharacterized. Lineage: Eukaryota; Metazoa; Arthropoda; Arachnida; Scorpiones; Buthidae. The transcript is spliced from 5 exons. The record is from RefSeq and is a predicted model, not a curated record.